AGAUGGAGAGGGACUUGGUUCGUCGGCUGUUGCAAUCAGUCGCGUGCCACGGUCCACCAAGCUGAACAUGGAGGACCUCGUUGAGAAGAUGGAGAGGGACUUGGUUCGUCGGCUGUUGCAAUCAGUCGCGUGCCACGGUCCACCAAGCUGAACAUGGAGGACCUCGUUGAGAAGAUGGAGAGGGACUUGGUUCGUCGGCUGUGGCAAUCAGUCGCGUGCCACGGUCCACCAAGCUGAAC
Dermacentor silvarum is the source of this 239-nucleotide long non-coding RNA. RefSeq lists it as uncharacterized. The transcript is spliced from 3 exons. NCBI's taxonomy places the organism in Eukaryota, Metazoa, Arthropoda, Arachnida, Ixodida, Ixodidae. The record is from RefSeq and is a predicted model, not a curated record.